Long non-coding RNA from Toxorhynchites rutilus septentrionalis, 689 nucleotides. RefSeq lists it as uncharacterized. Lineage: Eukaryota; Metazoa; Arthropoda; Insecta; Diptera; Culicidae. The record is from RefSeq and is a predicted model, not a curated record. The transcript is spliced from 3 exons.
UAUAUUUGUGUGCGUACGUGCGUGCUUCAUAACCCGUACGUAAAACAUUUCAGGGCGACCAAACUGAUAACUCUAUGGCUCGAUGUGUGGCACCCGGAUGCGUGAGUGUUUAGCCAUUGAUACCCUGGCUCGAGUCCAACUCGAAUUAUGAAAACAGAUCCAACAAAUUAUCAUUCCAUCGAUCCCCAAGGGAUGUGACUAUUCGGAAGAAAUGGCUUCGAUUCUUUGCACAGGAGCUAAACAGCAAUACUAAACACAUACAUUUGCUCGCUUCACUUCAGUCCAGAUUGUUUCAUUCAUAUUCAUAUUCAAACAGCUGUUCCUACUGUCAGAAAGGCCAACGAUUCUCAUGCCUCGGGAUAUCAAAACGUACGGCUCGCCGAAAGGUCUUGAUUGACAUCAAGCAAGAGUAAAAAAUCAUAAAUCAUCCAUAACAUCCGCGGAGUUGAUCCAGUUUUUUAAUGGGACGAAACAUGACUAUCUCGAGAAGGAUAUUCCGACAAAUGAAAUCGGGAGCAGCACUCUCAACAUCUCUAAUGAAAAACCUAGUGAUUCUGCUAGUUCUGAAAGCUUAAUUCAAGCACUACAGUAGCAGGUAUCGGAGAGCUACAGAGAGCUUUAGGAAGCUAAUCUCUGAAUUACCGAACAACAUUUUUUUUUCCCCUAGGUUUUGAUCUAAAUAGAUUAUC